Molecule: long non-coding RNA, 919 nt
Organism: Arachis stenosperma
Lineage: Eukaryota; Viridiplantae; Streptophyta; Magnoliopsida; Fabales; Fabaceae
Exons: 3
Source: RefSeq, a predicted model, not a curated record
GUGAACAAGAACUGAAGGAAAUUAAAACCUCCCUUCUUUCUUUUCCCAAUUUGUAACCCUAGUCUUUUAUUGUCGCCGCCGUCUCAAGCUCCUAAGCGCCACCACCGUCUCAAGCUCUUCAACGCGGUCGCUUCUUUCUCUUUCCUAAUUUGCAAAACCCAAAAAACUCAGCACAUCUUCUUCAUUUUCGUUGGCUUCUCUAUUUAUCGAAGGUUAGUGGCGUCCGUUCUUGGUGUACUGCGCUCGUUAAGAUCUCUCCUUGCACCUUUUCCGACGUCGGCAUUGGCGUCUCCAUCGGUGUCUCAGUUUUCGGUGCUGCUUGGGAGAUUUACGUGCUGCAAUCAAGGCUCCCCAAAUCACUUCCACAAAUCUUAUUAGGUACGAGCCAUAUAUGAAAUAAAAUCGUUGCAAAUUAAACUAUGGAAAUUGUUAAUAAAUUUUAUACCAGCAGAGUUCAAAUUAAACUGGCUCGUACGUAUUCUUCAAGACUUGUUAAUAAUCGUAGAAUUUGAAAGCUAAAUGAUGAUGUAUUAAAAAAACUUCAUUCAAAGAAAAAGUUCAAUUUAUCUUAUACGAAGUAACUAACUUAGAUAAGUACGUAGGAGAGUAUUAUUUGAUUCUCAACAAUCAAGAGACUAGAGAGACUCUAAAUAUACUAAACUACAUGAUCACCCUAAUAUAUGCGUCUGGAGUAUAUUUAAGGAUGACAUGAUGUGAAGAAAAUAUGUUCUAUAUAAAUAUAAGAUGAGAUGGGUCUUAUAAUGAUUUUGGUUAUCGAAAUGUAUUAUUUUUAUGUGUUCUUUACAUUUUGAUAAGAGACUUUAUCCGAUAUUACAUGUAAUGGAUAAAUUACACCCUAUUUUAAUUAGUGAUGUAAUGGAUAUCUAGUUUUUAAUGAAACUUUUAUGAUUUACAUUUA